AUUGAACGCUAGCGGGAUGCUUUACACAUGCAAGUCGAACGGCAGCGCGGACUUCGGUCUGGCGGCGAGUGGCGAACGGGUGAGUAAUGUAUCGGAACGUGCCCAGUAGCGGGGGAUAACUACGCGAAAGCGUAGCUAAUACCGCAUACGCCCUACGGGGGAAAGCAGGGGAUCGUAAGACCUUGCACUAUUGGAGCGGCCGAUAUCGGAUUAGCUAGUUGGUGAGGUAACGGCUCACCAAGGCGACGAUCCGUAGCUGGUUUGAGAGGACGACCAGCCACACUGGGACUGAGACACGGCCCAGACUCCUACGGGAGGCAGCGGUGGGGAAUUUUGGACAAUGGGGGCAACCCUGAUCCAGCCAUCCCGCGUGUGCGAUGAAGGCCUUCGGGUUGUAAAGCACUUUUGGCAGGAAAGAAACGUCGCGGGCUAAUACCCCGUGGAACUGACGGUACCUGCAGAAUAAGCACCGGCUAACUACGUG
This 484-nucleotide ribosomal RNA is filed under the name uncultured bacterium. RNAcentral's name for it is "partial 16S ribosomal RNA". It matches the Rfam family "Bacterial small subunit ribosomal RNA", at positions 30 to 507 of the family's 1533-position model. The record is from RNAcentral.